This 553-nucleotide ribosomal RNA is filed under the name Arthroleptis schubotzi (Burundi screeching frog). Its description in RNAcentral is "partial 16S ribosomal RNA". It matches the Rfam family "Bacterial large subunit ribosomal RNA", at positions 1829 to 2597 of the family's 2925-position model. The record is from RNAcentral. Lineage: Eukaryota; Metazoa; Chordata; Amphibia; Anura; Arthroleptidae.
CACCUCUUGAUUAAUUAUAAGAGGCCCAGCCUGCCCAGUGAUUAUUUCAACGGCCGCGGUACCCUAACCACGCAAAGGUAGCACAAUCACUUGUUCUCUAAAUAAGGACCUGUAUGAACGGCACCACGAAGACUAUACUGUCUCCUUUCUCCAAUCAGUGAAACUGAUCUCCCCGUGAAGAAGCGGGGAUUACCUUAUAAGACGAGAAGACCCUAUGAAGCUUAAAAUUUAUAUCAACUGCCACCCACCCAACAUCACCACAACCUGACAGACCUGAUUACCAAUUUUAGGUUGGGGUGACCGCGGAGCAAAAUAAAGCCUCCACAAUGAAAGGACCUAACCCCUAAUUCAAGAACAACACCUCUAAAAAUCAAAAUAUUGACAUAAAUUGAUCCAAAUUCUUGAUCAAUGAACCAAGUUACUCUAGGGAUAACAGCGCAAUCUAUUUCAAGAGCCCCUAUCGACAAAUGGGUUUACGACCUCGAUGUUGGAUCAGGGUAUCCUAGUGGUGCAGCCACUACUAAAGGUUUGUUUGUUCAACAAUUAAAACCCU